RNAcentral lists this ribosomal RNA (216 nucleotides) under Glomeromycotina sp. RNAcentral's name for it is "partial small subunit ribosomal RNA". The stretch from base 40 to 216 matches the Rfam family "Eukaryotic small subunit ribosomal RNA", at positions 686 to 864 of the family's 1831-position model. Lineage: Eukaryota; Fungi; Glomeromycota. The record is from RNAcentral.
GGAUCAGUAGGUUGGUCGUGCCACCGGUACGUACUGGUCUCACUGAUUCCUCCUUCCUGAAGAACCGUAAUGCCAUUAAUUUGGUGUUGCGGGGAAACAGGACUGUUACUUUGAAAAAAUUAGAGUGUAUAAAGCAAGCUAACGCUUGAAUACAUUAGCAUGGAAUAAUGAAAUAGGACGAUCGAUCCUAUUUUGUUGGUUUCUAGGAUUGACGUA